AUUGAACGCUGGCGGCAGGCUUAACACAUGCAAGUCGAGCGGGGUGAUGGUGCUUGCACUAUCACUUAGCGGCGGACGGGUGAGUAAUGCUUAGGAAUCUGCCUAUUAGUGGGGGACAACAUCUCGAAAGGGAUGCUAAUACCGCAUACGUCCUACGAGAGAAAGCAGGGGAUCACUUGUGACCUUGCGCUAAUAGAUGAGCCUAAGUCGGAUUAGCUAGUUGGUGGGGUAAAGGCCUACCAAGGCGACGAUCUGUAGCGGGUCUGAGAGGACGAUCCGCCACACUGGGACUGAGACACGGCCCAGACUCCUACGGGAGGCAGCAGUGGGGAAUAUUGGACAAUGGGGGGAACCCUGAUCCAGCCAUGCCGCGUGUGUGAAGAAGGCCUUAUGGUUGUAAAGCACUUUAAGCGAGGAGGAGGCUCUUUUGGUUAAUACCCAAGAUGAGUGGACGUUACUCGCAGAAUAAGCACCGGCUAACUCUGUGCCAGCAGCCGCGGUAA
This 503-nucleotide ribosomal RNA is filed under the name uncultured bacterium. RNAcentral describes it as "partial 16S ribosomal RNA". It matches the Rfam family "Bacterial small subunit ribosomal RNA", at positions 30 to 523 of the family's 1533-position model. The record is from RNAcentral.